This 128-nucleotide small RNA is filed under the name Candidatus Sodalis endolongispinus. RNAcentral describes it as "RtT sRNA". It matches the Rfam family "RtT RNA". Rfam says of the family: This family represents a bacterial cis-regulatory element known as RtT RNA. The record is from RNAcentral. Lineage: Bacteria; Pseudomonadati; Pseudomonadota; Gammaproteobacteria; Enterobacterales; Bruguierivoracaceae.
CCCUGUUCUUCGCGGGGACCGUGAGAACCUUCGACCCAGUUUCGCGUCGAUCAGCGCGAGACAACGAUGCGCAGCAUCGGCCCGAAGGGUGAGGCGCAACGCGCCGAAUCAUCCUUCCCGCACCAGCC